GCGGGGCUGGGGCAGCCGGAGAACAUGGCGAGACUUGAGGGGUAUCGCCGAGGAGCUGUGAGGCUGUGGCCUGCAUCCCUUUUUCCGAGCUGUGAGGGGAAUCAGGAGUGCAGGGCUUUGGAUGUGCGGCUUUCACUCCCUUCCUCCCCUUAGAUUUGCUGUGUAUGUCUCAUCCCACUGGGUUUACACGGUGUCUGGCAGCUCUUUGUGACGAUCAGAGCCUUUUCCAGCCCCUCGAGAUGUGGAAGUUAAGCACAGAAAGAUGAAGUUGUUUGUUCCAGGUCAUCCAACAAAGCAGUGGCAGACAAAAAAAAUAGAAGUGAAUCCUUCAGUGCUUUUUCUGUUGCAUCACUCUGUCUUCCUGUUUUGAUGAAAACUUCUAAAAUGUCAUUUUCAUAGAGUUGAAUACCCAGAGAGCUGAGGACUGGCUGCUUUCUGCUGGAAGUUACUGACUUGGCCCAAAAUGGGGACCUAUCAGUUACUAAUUACAAAGAUCUUACAGACCAUCCUGGAAUCAACUACUUAUGAUUGCUUUGGAAGCCUCAGCUCUUUUUGCAGCAGCACCACCAAGCAGUAACAGACUGAUCUUUUGGGGCAGUCUCACCCCCUUCACUCCAGAAGGAAAGUGCUGCUCCUGCCCACUGUCCUGUCUGAAGCCAAGCACACUUCAUGCAAAGGAAUAAACUCUGAUGUUAUCACAUAGAGAAGGCUUGUAGAAAGUGUGUUUAUAAUUCUUCAGCUUGCUGAAUUCUUCACUGGGAAGAACAUGGAAGUACUUUCAGAUUCGUGCUGCUGAAAACCCUUUUUGUUCUUAUGCCCACACAUAUCUGGUAGAACCAUGUCUCUGCCUCCUUUAAAUAUUCUUUUAGCUAAUGUACUGCAUUAUGCAUAUUGUUGGAAAAGAAAAUGAAAAGCAGACUCCUCUUGAAUUCUAACUGUAAUUCUCUGUGUUAAUUUGCACAACUGACAAAAAUCACUCAAUAUGGAAAAUGAAUCUUUUCUCAUUGGUUUUGCAUAUAAUCUGUUAUAUUAAAUUUUGAUUGAGGUUAUCUGUCUAACUUUUAGGCAUAUAUAUGCAAAUCAAAAGCUCCAAGUAUUGUGUUUGGCUAACAGCCAGAAAUUCUGACUCACAAUCAUCAGUAGAAAACACUACAGAAAAUUUCCUGUGUCAGU
This is a non-coding RNA of Cyanistes caeruleus (blue tit), 1173 nucleotides long. The record is from RefSeq and is a predicted model, not a curated record. Lineage: Eukaryota; Metazoa; Chordata; Aves; Passeriformes; Paridae.